Erinaceus europaeus (western European hedgehog) is the source of this 1790-nucleotide long non-coding RNA. RefSeq lists it as uncharacterized. Lineage: Eukaryota; Metazoa; Chordata; Mammalia; Eulipotyphla; Erinaceidae. The transcript has 6 exons. The record is from RefSeq and is a predicted model, not a curated record.
CACCUGGUGGGUGCAGGAAUGGGGCGGGGCGCUGCGAGCCGGGGCUUCGGGGGCGGCUUGUCAAGUUCACGGCAGUUGCGGGUGCACGUGGUCUGUCAGUCUCAGCCCCAAGACUCUGGGAGUAGCAAAACAUGGUCCUCCAGUUUCUACCGGGCGGGACUGCAGCUCCCUUAACCUGCGGGGUCCUUAUCCUGACCGAGAAGAUAUGAUUCUGAUAGUCAUCUUACCUGGCCCCCCUCCCACCCCAGGAGGAAGUGACUCAGGACCUGAACCCGGGGACUUGAAUGAAUAUUUCAGGUUUCAUCUCCAGCACCACACCCCACUGGGGCACUCUGCCUGCUCUCUCUGGGAAUCGGCAAAGUAAAUCUAAGUACAUAUGAAAUAACAUCUGUCUUUCAUCAGCUGUGGCCUUUCCCUCUGGUUUCUGAAUAGCUCGGACGUCCCACAAACUCAGGUCUGAGCAAAGUGAAUCCUUUGGCCUGAAUCGGCAACCUUAAAGUCCAAACCCUGAGUCGCUCAAAGUGGCUUCACCUGAGCCACAAAUCCAGACGGGAUCAUUGAACUGCUGCCCUUUCAUGACUGGCAUGGCUUGGGCACAGAGUUGCUUCCAAGACCAAAAGAAGAUGACAACACUAUGGUGAACGGGGCUCUCUUUGGAAGACCAGCUGUGGGUAUUUUUCAUUACUUUUAUAAACUGAAAAAAAUAUAAAAAGGGAUUGCUAAUUAAAAGUGAGCAUGUUAACAUUCACAUAUGUGCCUUCUGCUUGUUUGAUUAUCUGUCCUGUCUUGAGGGACCCAGAGGAAGACAGGAGGCUUCUUGUUCAGCACACAAUGAUGCCACUGCAAACAGCACCCGCUCUCUCAUGGAGAGACUGCUCUGAAUUUCUGAAGAAGGCUUCCCUACUGCAGUGUCAUCACCGCCCCUGUCCUGCCUCCUCAGUUUAGACACCAGUCUGUGAAGUCUCAUCAGUGGGAAAGCAGUCCCUUCUUGAGUGGGGAGAAGUCUCUGCCUUUGGAAACAUUUCUCAUAUUAAGAAUAGCGGGGUGGUCUGGGAGGUGGUGGUACAGUGGAUAAAGCAUUGGACUCUCAAGUAUGAGGUCUCAAGUUCAAUCCCUGGUAGCACAUGUAUCAGAGUAAUGUCUGGUUCUUUCUCUCUCUCCUCUUAACUUUCUCAUUAAUAAAUAAAAUAAAAUAAAAUAAAAAGUAAGGGGAAAGCUUUGUGAGUGGUGAAGCAGGGCUGCAGGUGUCUCUCUGUCUCCCUUUCUAUUUCCUCCCCUCUCAAUUUCUCUCUGUCUCUAUCCAAUAAUAAGUAAAGAAAAAUAUGGGGAAAAAAGUAGGGAAUUAGAACAUGCUCCCCAAUAAUGGUAGAAAAAAGCCUUUAGAGAGUCGGGUGGUAGCUCAGCGGGUUAAGUGCAGGUGGCACGAAGCGCAAGGACCGGCUUAAGGAUCCCGGUUCACGCCUCCGUCCCCACCUGCAGGGGAGUCGCUUCACAGGUGGUAAAGCAGGUCUGCAGGUGUCUUUCUCUCCUCCUCUCUAUCUUCCCUUCCUCUCUCCAUUUCUCUCUGUCCUAUCCAACAAUGACGCUGACGAUAUCAAUAACAACAACAAUAAUAACUACAACAAUAAAAAAAAAAAAGAAGCCUUUAGUCAACUGUCACUAUAUCAGAGCACUACAAACAAUGGGUCACCAGGCUGCUUGUACAAAACCAGGGUUGCAUAAGAAGAGAGGAAUGGCGUGACUUGUCGGUCCGCCCCAGUGUCCACAUGUAUCACACUGAGUGUGUCCUU